RNAcentral lists this non-coding RNA (26 nucleotides) under Homo sapiens (human). Lineage: Eukaryota; Metazoa; Chordata; Mammalia; Primates; Hominidae. The record is from RNAcentral.
UGAUGAGGGGAACUCGCAGCCUUGCA